RNAcentral lists this ribosomal RNA (2379 nucleotides) under Triticum aestivum (bread wheat). Its description in RNAcentral is "partial small subunit ribosomal RNA". The record is from RNAcentral. Lineage: Eukaryota; Viridiplantae; Streptophyta; Magnoliopsida; Poales; Poaceae.
AUGCGGACGGGAGGCGGGUGCCUCGGGCGGGCGGGGGGUCGGGCGCUCCUCCCGCUGCUGUUGAUCGCCACGACGGUGGCAUUGCUGCCGCGGGCGCUCGCCCUCACCGACGCCGCCGACGUUUCUGCUAUAAAUGGAUUGUAUGUUGCACUUGGGUCACCAGCUCUUCCUGGAUGGACUGCAAAUGGUGGAGACCCCUGCGGUGAGAAGUGGCAGGGUGUUGUAUGUAUUGGCUCAAAUAUAGACGCAAUAAAUUUUAUUGCUGCAACGAUGGGAGGACAGCUGGGAAGCCUAGGGAACUUCACAGCUAUAACCACAAUAAAUCUUAGCAACAACAAAAUCACCGGAACUAUACCAGAUGAUCUACCUGUUACACUGCGGAAUCUUUUUCUCUCGGACAACCAACUCACCGGAAGCAUCCCGAUGUCGCUAUCAAAACUUAACAGUUUAACAGCCAUGUCACUCAAUGAUAACCAUCUCGAUGGACAGCUACCAGAUGCUUUUGGCUCCCUUGUUGGACUUAUAAACCUGGAUAUUUCUUCCAACAACUUCAGUGGUCCAUUACCAACUUCGUUGGGAAACCUGUCGUCACUAGUUACGCUGCGAAUGCAAGAUAAUCAACUAUCUGGGACCCUUGAUGUGUUGCAGGGUCUUCCCCUCGGUGAUUUAAAUAUAGAGAACAAUUUAUUUUCUGGACCGAUUCCUCCAAAGUUGCUCAACAUACCAAAUUUGAAAAAGGAUGGGAACCCAUUUAAUACCAGCAUUGCUCCUUCCACGUCACCCUCUUUAACACCGACAGGCCCUACACCGACACAAACACCAUCAUCUCCUUCAUCCCCUUCAGGAACUCCUUCAUCGUCUAAUACACCCUCGAGCUCUUCUGGUGGAUCCACAGCUCGAGACAGCAGAUCAUCCUCCGGGAAACACAAGUCUUCAACCCUAAGGACCGUUGGAUACGUUUUUCUUGGCAUUGUGCUGUUCAUAAUUGUUGUGCUGCUGGUAAUCUUUUGCCUGUCCAAGUACCAAGAGAGACAGUCAAGACAUGAUUAUACAACAAGUCAGGUGGGAAGGGUGCACCAAAGAGUUGAAGAGCCUAAAGUCAAGCAAGCUUCAGCGCAGCCAAGGAACGACGUUAAAAAAGGCUCAGCUGGGGUUCCUGACAGGAAGCAUGUUCGUGAAAUAAAUUUGGCCAUACCAGCUGCUCUUGAGAAGCCUCCUGAAAAGAGAGAAGAGCGUGUAAUUAACUUGGAGCGAACAGAGUCGGAUAUUUUUGCUGUGGAACCUCCGCCACCUCCACCACCGCCGCCGCCACCACCACCAGUGUCCCCACCACCACCUCCACCGCCGCUGCCACCGCCGCCGCCAGUGUCCCCACCACCACCUCCGCUUGUUGAAAAAGUGAUUGUUAAUCCUAUUGUUAAGCCAGAAAAAAGAGCUAGCACCCCACCAAGGGCAGGUCCCUCGACAUCUGCAACAUCCUUUUCUGUUGCAACACUUCAGCAAUAUACAAAUAGUUUUGCAGAGGAAAAUUUAAUAAGAGAGAGUAGGCUGGGAAAAGUAUAUCUGGCAGAACUUCCUGAAGGCAAAUUACUGGAAGUUAUGAAGAUAGACAAUGCCAAUGGAAGAAUACCAGUAGAUGACUUUCUAGAGCUGGUUGCGUGUAUAUCAGAUAUUAGACACCCUAGCAUCCUUGAGCUUGUUGGAUACUGUGCAGAAUAUGGACAGCGGUUACUUGUUUAUAACCACUUCAGUAGAAAAACACUACAUGAUGUGUUACAUGAAAGAGAGGAUCUAGAUAGUGCACUGUCUUGGGGCGCCCGUCUCCAGGUUGCUCUUGGUUCAGCAAAAGCCUUAGAGUAUCUCCAUGACACCUGCGAGCCUCCAGUAGUGCAUCAGAAUUUUGAGCCAGCCAAUGUGCUUCUUGAUAAUAGAUUCUCAGUACGUGUUGCUGAAUGUGGACUGUCUGUAUUGACGUUGUCAAGUUCUGUUACACAGUUGUCUGGUCGCAUGCGAGCACUACUAAAUUACGAGGCACCUGAAAUCCAGGAAUCUGGAACUUUUACUGAUCGAAGUGAUGUUUACAGUUUCGGUGUGGUGAUGCUAGAACUUCUUACUGGUCGUAAACCAUAUGACAGUUCUCGUCCGCGACAUGAACAACAUCUUGUUAGGUGGGCCCAGUCUCAGUUUCAUGACAUUGAAUCACUAAUAAAGAUCGUUGACCCUUCUAUUCGUGGAGAGUGUUCUGAGAAAGUGUUGUCUCGUUUUGUCGACAUCAUCAGUCGCUGUAUUCCGCCGGAACCAGAAUACAGGCCGCCAAUGUCUGAGAUUGUCCAAGAUCUAGCAAGUAUCUUAAACGCUGCUGGUGAGGAAUCAGAGUGA